Long non-coding RNA from Acanthochromis polyacanthus (spiny chromis), 3165 nucleotides. RefSeq lists it as uncharacterized. The transcript is spliced from 3 exons. The record is from RefSeq and is a predicted model, not a curated record. Lineage: Eukaryota; Metazoa; Chordata; Actinopteri; Pomacentridae.
UCUCUCCCUCUCUCUCUCUCUCCUGUGUGUCUGUGCGUCAUCACCGUGACCGAACUGUUCAUAUGAGGGGAAAGAGUCAGACCUCCACCAUAGUUGCAACUUCUAAUAAUCGAUCUGUAGGCUGUAGAUCUUACUCGCUAUAAAAUGUUCAUCAUUAAAGAAAUCCAAAGAAAUGUCAAGUUAAAUGAAGAAAAUAAGUAAUUGUGUAAAUAUUCACCCCUUUCAAAGUGACUAAUUGAACUCAGGUGCAGUCAGUUGGUGCUAGAAGUCCCACAGUCAGUGAAAUAAAGAUGAUCUGAGGUCAGCAGCAUCAUGACGUGAAGCAUUGCAGUGGAAGCAUCAUGACAUGAAGCAUGGUGGUGGUGGCAUCAUGACGUGAAGCACGGCGGUGGAGGCAUCAUGACGUGAAGCACGGCGGUGGCGGCAUCAUGACGUGAAGCACGGCGGUGGCGGCUUCAUGACGUGAAGCACGGCGGUGGCGGCAUCAUGACGUGAAGCAUGGCGGUGGAAGCAUCAUGACGUGAAGCAUGGUGGUGGCGGCUUCAUGAUGUGAAGCACGGCAGUGGCGGCAUCAUGACGUGAAGCACGGCGGUGGCGGCAUCAUGACGUGAAGCACGGUGGUGGCGGCAUCAUGACGUGAAGCAUGGCAGUGGAAGCAUCAUGACGUGAAACAUGUCAUGAUGUGAAGCAUGGCGGUGGCAGCAUUAUGAUGUGAAGCAUGGUGGUGGCGGCAUCAUGAUGUGAAGCGUGGUGGUGGCAGCAUUAUGAUGUGAAGCAUGGUGGUGGCGGCAUCAUGAUGUGAAGCGUGGUGGUGGCGGCAUCAUGAUGUGAAGCGUGGUGGUGGCAGCAUUAUGAUGUGAAGCAUUGCGGUGGCAGCAUCAUGAGACCAACAGGAUUAAUGGAAUAAUUCUAACUCAAAGACACAUGGAUAAUAUUUCAGGUCUGAAGCUCAGAAUGCAGAUUGGUGUUCUUUUUUUCUGCAGGUGUGAUGUUCUGAUGGAUCCAUAGAAACCGACCAGCCCUCGGUAUCGACCCGGUCCGAAGAGAUCUCACAUCUCCAGGCAUAAAAAUGAGCAGCGACAAGGCCGGGCCGCCCACCGUCCCGAUCCAUCAGCGCUCACUUUACGGCCUCCACCUCCGGAUCAAUACAGCUGCAUGUGGAGACAUGAAGGAUGAAGGUUUGGAUGCAGCUGGAGGGGCUCCUGGGAAACCUGCAGCUGUCUCCAGGUAACAUCUGGACUCUCUGCUGGAGGCGUCACAGGGCUCCACAGUUUAACCUGCUCACGAAGUGACGCAGCGAUUAGUCCAGACCGGCUGCACAACAGGCCCGAGCUCGCAUCCAGAAUCACUGCGAUCCUGAUUUAAUUUCACACCUGCUGCUGCUUUCAGGCAGACAAGCUGGAAUCGGACUCGAACGGUGUCUCGUCUCGACUCGCCCCGACUCAUCAAUUCGGAGGCGAAGAUCCCUGAAGGACUGAUCUCAUCUCUGUUUUCUGAGCCUUUUCUCUGCAACAAAAACAAGCCUGUGACGGCAGCAAUCCGGGCCAGCGCCGGGUUUCUGCUCCUGCAAAUUGGUUGCACGUACAAAAGCAAUGAUUUCUCAGAGACCUGGUCGGAAAUUCAGGAGAAAAUCCUCAGUUUGGCGCCUAUAUGACCCAUACACUUUACACUUUAUAAGCCCAAAAGUGACCAAAUCUACAAAAGAAAGGAGCAAACUGAUGGCAUGUCACCUCAGUCUUCACACUCGUUACUUCUUUCAGGCAACUCACUUCCCAGAGUAGGCAUUUUAUCCUUUUUUUUAUUAAAUUUUUUCAAUAAUUUCACAUUAAGCAUGGUGGUGGCAGUAUCAUAGCAUGCCAUGAUGCUGCCACCACCAUGCUUCAUAUCAUGAUGCCGCUACCACUAGGCUUGUUUUAUUGCACUUAUGCCGAUUGUUUUCUCCUGACUAGGUCCUUGCUUGUGUUGUAUCUCCUCUCAGAUGUAGGUCGCUUUGGAUAAAAGCGUCUGCUAAAUGAAAUUGCAAUUCAGUCAAACUUUAUUUUUGUCUUAUCAUGAGUAGCCUGUUCUUCCAGUCUCAGGUUUUGCUUUUCAGAAUAUUAACAAAAGAAAAAGGAUGCUGUCCACAUAUAUGAGAAAGCAAGGAAGGAAAAAUCAGACCCACAGAUCAGAGCAGUGUCGCAGCUGUAGCACAUAUUUUCAUCGGAAAUAAUAAAAUUCUCCGUUCAGUGCAGCAGCUGUGACGGGGCAGGGUGGCGGUUUCUUUGUGUUGUGGGGAGAAAUAACUUUAUUUCAGCACCUUUAUUUAAUUGUGACGAGUUUCAUGUCGUUUCCUCUCAGGCUGAGCUGCUCGUCUCCUCUCAGCAGCUUCAGAUUUCCACCAGUGAGGAAUACAAGGGGUCAGCAAACUCGAUAAGAAUUUUUAACGAGUCAGCCAUCCCACUGUAAAUAGGAUCCUUUAACUACAAAAUCAAUCCUCUUUUUCCUGAGCUGUGUUCACAUUUUCAGCCUUUCUGCCUCCGUCCAUCCAUCUGUCCAGGCUGCUGACUGAUGGAUUCAUUCCGACACUUCCUCUCCUCAUGAUUUGCUCUGUUUGUUUCCCCUCAGAAAAAGCCUCAGUCUGUUGAAAAUGUAGGUUUUCCUUUCGCUCGUUUUGUGCCUAAGUUUGAUCAGUGUGCAUCUCUUUCAUGCAAAGUGACCAAAAUGAAAUGUCGUUUUUUUGUCACACUUGGGAUAUUUUGUGUCUCUUUGUGGUAUUUUUCUUUGGCAUUUUUAGCGUUUAUUAUAUAAGACAGUGGAGAGAGAGAGAGAGACAGGAAACAUGGGUAAAAGACAGCAAAUGGCCGUGGGUUGGACUUGAACCCAUGUCACCCUCUCAACCAGUUGCCGGGGCGCCCUCUUUGUGGUUAUUUGGCAUGAGUUUAUGUUAGUUUUUUGGGCCAUUUUAUGUCAUUUUCUGUGUUAUUUUGAUCAUUUCUAAUUCCCUGUGGCUGUUUACAUUUUCAUUUUGGUUGUUCUGCAUCUUUGGGUUACAUCCAUCAAGUUUUUUCUUGCCAAUGUCUUCUGAGAGCUUGCUCUGUGGGUUCAGCCCAUUAGGGUUCUCUAAAUCGUCUUGAGACAAUCUGAAUUGUAAUUGGCGCUGUAUAAAUAAAAUUGAAUUAAAUUGAA